This is a long non-coding RNA of Raphanus sativus (radish), 999 nucleotides long. RefSeq lists it as uncharacterized. Lineage: Eukaryota; Viridiplantae; Streptophyta; Magnoliopsida; Brassicales; Brassicaceae. The transcript is spliced from 2 exons. The record is from RefSeq and is a predicted model, not a curated record.
UGUAAUGAACCACCGCCGGAAAACUAGGGUGCCCGUCUCCGCCUUCCUCCCUUAUUAUAAAAGCAAUCUCUGUUUGUUUUGUCACCGCUCGUAAACCACUCGCUGUGUUUCUCUCUCUCUCUCUUCCUUAUCAUCAAAGUAGCUCGCCCCCGUGAAAAUGUCGGAGGGAUCAGAAGAAACUAAAACGAAGAUUGAUUCCACCGGAGAGUUAUCGGAUGUGGAUAACGAGAACUGCAGUAGCAGCCAGGGGCGAAGCUAGGAAAUUAAUCUAGAUUACACGGGUGCACAGGCCCCCAUAGUAUUGGGCCUGGCUUCGCCCCUGGUAGCAGCAGCGGAAGUGGAAGUGGCGGCGGCGGUAGCGGUGGAAGUAGUAGCGAGACAAAGAGGACUUGCGUUGAUUGCGGAACGUUCAAAACUCCUCUCUGGUGCGGCGGCCCUGCCGGACCUAAGGUAAGAUUGUCUUUAUGCAGUCAUUGUGCAAUGCUUGUGGGAUCAAGAGCAGGAAGAAGAGGCAAGCGGCUCCCGGGAUCAAACCAGAGAAGAAGAUCAGAAAAAACAACAGCAGUGAUAGUGAUCUAAGCCUCGAUCACCAUCGUAACAACUACAAGAACAAGAUCAGAAAGAUGAUGAUCACGGAAUUAGAAGUGGCAGCAGUAGCAGCAGCAAAAGAAUCAGUAAAUUUUUGGAUCUAGAAUUGGAAAUGCCGGUGAUGAAAAGAUCGGCGGUUGAGAAGAAGAGGCUGUAGAAGAAACUCGGCGAGGAAGAAAGAGCCGCCGUACUUCUCAUGGUGCUCUCUUGUGGUUCCGUUUAUGCGUAAAACAAUGGAGAUCAAAGCUUUCUUUGUUUGGUGUUCGUUAUGGAAUAAUUAAAGUGAGGGGUUUUGAAUUAAUUAUUUAAUUAACUUAGACAAUAGAGAGAGAGAUAUGUAUGCAUGUGUAAUAGCCCCGGGUAAUAGCUAGUGAUGUCGGGGUUUUUUGGCUGGUUCCCACUAAUGUUAUG